This 268-nucleotide non-coding RNA is filed under the name Schistosoma curassoni. RNAcentral's name for it is "Eukaryotic small subunit ribosomal RNA". It matches the Rfam family "Eukaryotic small subunit ribosomal RNA", at positions 1194 to 1416 of the family's 1831-position model. Lineage: Eukaryota; Metazoa; Platyhelminthes; Trematoda; Strigeidida; Schistosomatidae. The record is from Rfam by way of RNAcentral.
UUCGACCUAACACGAGAAAACUCACCCGGCACGGACACUGUGAGGAUUAACAGAUUGAUAGUUCUUUCCUGAUUCGGUGGGUGAUGGUGCAUGGCCGUUCUUAGUUGGUGGAGAAAUUCUUCUGGUUAACUCCGAUAUUGGAUACACUAGCGUAACCGGCUCCGAAUGGAAAGACAGCUGUCCGCUCAUAUAUGUAUAUAUAAUGUAUUUCUUCCUUAGAACUUUAAGCUACAUAUUCAACUAGUGAUAUGCGUCUCGUUUCUCAGAG